ACGGGUAGCCGGCCUGAGAGGGCGACCGGCCACACUGGGACUGAGACACGGCCCAGACUCCUACGGGAGGCAGCAGUGGGGAAUAUUGCACAAUGGGCGAAAGCCUGAUGCAGCGACGCCGCGUGAGGGAUGACGGCCUUCGGGUUGUAAACCUCUUUCAGCAGGGAAGAAGCGAAAGUGACGGUACCUGCAGAAGAAGCGCCGGCUAACUACGUGCCAGCAGCCGCGGUAAUACGUAGGGCGCAAGCGUUGUCCGGAAUUAUUGGGCGUAAAGAGCUCGUAGGCGGCUUGUCACGUCGGUUGUGAAAGCCCGGGGCUUAACCCCGGGUCUGCAGUCGAUACGGGCAGGCUAGAGUUCGGUAGGGGAGAUCGGAAUUCCUGGUGUAGCGGUGAAAUGCGCAGAUAUCAGGAGGAACACCGGUGGCGAAGGCGGAUCUCUGGGCCGAUACUGACGCUGAGGAGCGAAAGCGUGGGGAGCGAACAGGAUUAGAUACCCUGGUAGUCCACGCCGUAAACGGUGGGCACUAGGUGUGGGCAACAUUCCACGUUGUCCGUGCCGCAGCUAACGCAUUAAGUGCCCCGC
This 583-nucleotide ribosomal RNA is filed under the name Streptomyces sp. MDRC-3. Its description in RNAcentral is "bacterial SSU rRNA". It matches the Rfam family "Bacterial small subunit ribosomal RNA", at positions 279 to 872 of the family's 1533-position model. The record is from RNAcentral. Lineage: Bacteria; Bacillati; Actinomycetota; Actinomycetes; Kitasatosporales; Streptomycetaceae.